RNAcentral lists this ribosomal RNA (406 nucleotides) under uncultured bacterium. RNAcentral describes it as "partial 16S ribosomal RNA". It matches the Rfam family "Bacterial small subunit ribosomal RNA", at positions 30 to 526 of the family's 1533-position model. The record is from RNAcentral.
AUUGAACGCUGGCGGCAGGCCUAACACAUGCAAGUCGAACGAGUGGCGGACGGGUGAGUCAUGUCUGGGAACCUGCCUGCUGGUGGGGGAUAACUACUGGAAACGGUGGAUAAUACCGCAUACUAUCGGAUGUGCCCAAAUGGGAUUAGCUAGUAGGUGGGGUAAAGGUUCACCUAGGCGCCGAUCCCUAGCUGGUAUGAGAGGAUGACCGGCCACACUGGAACUGAGCCACGGCCCAGACUCCUACGGGAGGCAGCAGUGGGGAAUAUUGCACAAUGGGCGCAAGCCUGAUGCAGCCAUGCCGCGUGUAUGAAGAAGGCCUUCGGGUUGUAAAGUACUUUCAGCGGGGAGGCGUUACCCGCAGAAGAAGCACCGGCUAACUCCGUGCCAGCAGCCGCGGUAAUUC